This 780-nucleotide ribosomal RNA is filed under the name Paenarthrobacter nitroguajacolicus. RNAcentral's name for it is "bacterial SSU rRNA". It matches the Rfam family "Bacterial small subunit ribosomal RNA", at positions 56 to 847 of the family's 1533-position model. The record is from RNAcentral. Lineage: Bacteria; Bacillati; Actinomycetota; Actinomycetes; Micrococcales; Micrococcaceae.
UGCAAGUCGAACGAUGAUCCCAGCUUGCUGGGGGAUUAGUGGCGAACGGGUGAGUAACACGUGAGUAACCUGCCCUUGACUCUGGGAUAAGCCUGGGAAACUGGGUCUAAUACCGGAUAUGACCGCUCUGACGCAUGUCAUGGUGGUGGAAAGCUUUUGUGGUUUUGGAUGGACUCGCGGCCUAUCAGCUUGUUGGUGGGGUAAUGGCCUACCAAGGCGACGACGGGUAGCCGGCCUGAGAGGGUGACCGGCCACACUGGGACUGAGACACGGCCCAGACUCCUACGGGAGGCAGCAGUGGGGAAUAUUGCACAAUGGGCGCAAGCCUGAUGCAGCGACGCCGCGUGAGGGAUGACGGCCUUCGGGUUGUAAACCUCUUUCAGUAGGGAAGAAGCGAAAGUGACGGUACCUGCAGAAGAAGCGCCGGCUAACUACGUGCCAGCAGCCGCGGUAAUACGUAGGGCGCAAGCGUUAUCCGGAAUUAUUGGGCGUAAAGAGCUCGUAGGCGGUUUGUCGCGUCUGCUGUGAAAGACCGGGGCUCAACUCCGGUUCUGCAGUGGGUACGGGCAGACUAGAGUGAUGUAGGGGAGACUGGAAUUCCUGGUGUAGCGGUGAAAUGCGCAGAUAUCAGGAGGAACACCGAUGGCGAAGGCAGGUCUCUGGGCAUUAACUGACGCUGAGGAGCGAAAGCAUGGGGAGCGAACAGGAUUAGAUACCCUGGUAGUCCAUGCCGUAAACGUUGGGCACUAGGUGUGGGGGACAUUCCACGUUUUCCGCGCC